RNAcentral lists this ribosomal RNA (776 nucleotides) under uncultured Mycobacterium sp. RNAcentral describes it as "bacterial SSU rRNA". It matches the Rfam family "Bacterial small subunit ribosomal RNA", at positions 579 to 1353 of the family's 1533-position model. The record is from RNAcentral. Lineage: Bacteria; Bacillati; Actinomycetota; Actinomycetes; Mycobacteriales; Mycobacteriaceae.
UUUGUCGCGUUGUUCGUGAAAUCUCACGGCUUAACUGUGAGCGUGCGGGCGAUACGGGCAGACUUGAGUACUGCAGGGGAGACUGGAAUNCCUGGUGUAGCGGUGGAAUGCGCAGAUAUCAGGAGGAACACCGGUGGCGAAGGCGGGUCUCUGGGCAGUAACUGACGCUGAGGAGCGAAAGCGUGGGGAGCGAACAGGAUUAGAUACCCUGGUAGUCCACGCCGUAAACGGUGGGUACUAGGUGUGGGUUUCCUUCCUUGGGAUCCGUGCCGUAGCUAACGCAUUAAGUACCCCGCCUGGGGAGUACGGCCGCAAGGCUAAAACUCAAAGAAAUUGACGGGGGCCCGCACAAGCGGCGGAGCAUGUGGAUUAAUUCGAUGCAACGCGAAGAACCUUACCUGGGUUUGACAUGCACAGGACGCCGGCAGAGAUGUCGGUUCCCUUGUGGCCUGUGUGCAGGUGGUGCAUGGCUGUCGUCAGCUCGUGUCGUGAGAUGUUGGGUUAAGUCCCGCAACGAGCGCAACCCUUGUCUCAUGUUGCCAGCGGGUAAUGCCGGGGACUCGUGAGAGACUGCCGGGGUCAACUCGGAGGAAGGUGGGGAUGACGUCAAGUCAUCAUGCCCCUUAUGUCCAGGGCUUCACACAUGCUACAAUGGCCGGUACAAAGGGCUGCGAUGUCGCGAGGUUAAGCGAAUCCUUUUAAAGCCGGUCUCAGUUCGGAUCGGGGUCUGCAACUCGACCCCGUGAAGUCGGAGUCGCUAGUAAUCGCAGAUCAGC